Molecule: ribosomal RNA, 254 nt
Filed under: uncultured bacterium
Lineage: Bacteria
Description: partial 16S ribosomal RNA
Rfam family: Bacterial small subunit ribosomal RNA
Source: RNAcentral
UACGUAGGGCGCAAGCGUUGUCCGGAAUUAUUGGGCGUAAAGAGCUCGUAGGCGGCCUGUUGCGUCCGCUGUGAAAUCCCGGGGCUCAACCCCGGGCGUGCAGUGGAUACGGGCUGGCUGGAGGCAGGCAGGGGAGAACGGAAUUCCUGGUGUAGCGGUGAAAUGCGCAGAUAUCAGGAGGAACACCGGUGGCGAAGGCGGUUCUCUGGGCCUGUACUGACGCUGAGGAGCGAAAGCGUGGGGGAGCGAACAGG